CUCUCUGGGGAGCAUAUGCAUCAUAAGGCAAUCUUUUUAAAAAAAAAAAAAAAAAGAUGUUAUGGAGAACCAGCUCUGUGGUGGGAAUGCUUUGGAUUCACAGCCUGGAAUUCUCAGGUCUUGCUGUGGGAUUAAGACCAGACAAGGAGUGGAAUUGAUGGCUCAUAGAUCAUUCUAAGCUUCUUCAAGGCCAGCAGGAAGACUCAGAGAGCCAGUUCUGGAGUCUAAGAAAUCCAAGAUUGAGUGGCCACUUCUGUUCAGGGCCUCAUGCUGUGACAACCCAUGGUGGAGAACUGCAGGGGGAACCCAGCACUGUGAAAAGGACAAAAGGCGCUGAGGAUUUCCGAUGGCAGGGCCCAGCAGCUAGCAACCUGCAGAUCUGUGGAUGCUCAUGUAGUUACGCCUGAAGUUCUGGCACCGACUUGUUUUUCCUGCUUCCAGGCCUGGAGCUACUGCACUCCCAACACAGCUACUCUCCUAGGUUCUGGGAAACCUUUAUCCAAAGGCAUACUGUACAUCGGCACCUACCCUUCCUCCACAAAGCAUGAAGCAGUGAAAAGGUCGAAGCUUUAGCGCAGACGUCACAAUCCCUCUUUUCUCUUCUUCACUACAAGGACAGUGCAAGAAAUGAAAAUUGGAUGAUAAUUUAAACUUUUCAUUCAUCUCCUUCAUCUUGUGUUGUUCGACCAGAAUAUCUGAGUCAACUGAUUUGAGGGGAAAGAUCUCACGUGGGAGGCUGAAAAAGAACCUUCACUAAUGUCUCAGCACUGGAAGUUGAUUUUUGCAGUAGUUGAGAGUGAGUGGGUGUACAAAGAAAUUCAAGACUGAAGGCUUGAUAGGAGACUCACUUGGAAGAUUGAACUAAGGACACCAAGACUUCCAGUUACCAG
Long non-coding RNA from Tupaia belangeri chinensis (Chinese tree shrew), 890 nucleotides. RefSeq lists it as uncharacterized. NCBI's taxonomy places the organism in Eukaryota, Metazoa, Chordata, Mammalia, Scandentia, Tupaiidae. The transcript has 5 exons. The record is from RefSeq and is a predicted model, not a curated record.